UCAUCUUCGGGGGUAGAGCACUGUUUCGGCUAGGGGGUCAUCCCGACUUACCAACCCGAUGCAAACUACGAAUACCGAAGAAUGUUAUCACGGGAGACACACGGCGGGUGCUAACGUCCGUCGUGAAGAGGGAAACAACCCAGACCGCCAGCUAAGGUCCCAAAGUCAUGGUUAAGUGGGAAACGAUGUGGGAAGGCACAGACAGCCAGGAUGUUGGCUUAGAAGCAGCCAUCAUUUAAAGAAAGCGUAAUAGCUCACUGGUCGAGUCGGCCUGCGCGGAAGAUGUAACGGGGCUAAACCAUGCACCGAAGCUGCGGCAGCGACACUAUGUGUUGUUGGGUAGGGGAGCGUUCUGUAAGCCUGCGAAGGUGGCCUGUGAGGGUUGCUGGAGGUAUCAGAAGUGCGAAUGCUGACAUAAGUAACGAUAAAGCGGGUGAAAAGCCCGCUCGCCGGAAGACCAAGGGUUCCUGUCCAACGUUAAUCGGGGCAGGGUGAGUCGACCCCUAAGGCGAGGCCGAAAGGCGUAGUCGAUGGGAAACAGGUUAAUAUUCCUGUACUUGGUGUUACUGCGAAGGGGGGACGGAGAAGGCUAUGUUAGCCGGGCGACGGUUGUCCCGGUUUAAGCAUGUAGGCGGAGGUUCCAGGUAAAUCCGGUACCUUUUAACGCUGAGGUGUGAUGACGAGGCACUACGGUGCUGAAGUAACAAAUGCCCUGCUUCCAGGAAAAGCCUCUAAGCAUCAGGUAACAU
RNAcentral lists this ribosomal RNA (749 nucleotides) under Klebsiella variicola. Its description in RNAcentral is "partial 23S ribosomal RNA". It matches the Rfam family "Bacterial large subunit ribosomal RNA", at positions 890 to 1637 of the family's 2925-position model. The record is from RNAcentral. Lineage: Bacteria; Pseudomonadati; Pseudomonadota; Gammaproteobacteria; Enterobacterales; Enterobacteriaceae.